This is a long non-coding RNA of Olea europaea var. sylvestris, 468 nucleotides long. RefSeq lists it as uncharacterized. The record is from RefSeq and is a predicted model, not a curated record. The transcript is spliced from 3 exons. NCBI's taxonomy places the organism in Eukaryota, Viridiplantae, Streptophyta, Magnoliopsida, Lamiales, Oleaceae.
UAACCAUUAUUUUAAUUAUUGUUGUUUUAUACUUCGUUCUUUUUUCAAUAGGAGAGAAGUUUUAGGUUCAGCAACAUGCGAACUAAUCAGAAGCUUCUCCAUACUGUUUAUCCACGUUUGGCUUAUGAAAUGAAGAAAAAGAAUCUACAUUUAAAAGGGUUAAGAACAGAAGUAUGAAAAUAUGGACAUCUCAGAAAAGAUGGAAAACCAAUUAAUGAAGCAGUUGCCGAAACAUUGAAAAAGAUUAAAGAUUGUGCCACAUCAAUUUUCGAUACGCCUGCUGAAGAUUCCAUCCGUGAUGAUGCUAUAGCUUGAGUUUUUGGUCCCCGAACAUCAUGGGAGAGUCAGGGGACUCGAAUUUGGAGUUGUACCAUCAAAAGUGGAUGGACAAAUACAAAGUAGGGAGAGUUAGAGAACUUGAAAGCCAAGUACAGAUUCAGACACAAAAGAUGGGGGCAUUAGAAGAAA